This 253-nucleotide ribosomal RNA is filed under the name uncultured bacterium. RNAcentral describes it as "partial 16S ribosomal RNA". It matches the Rfam family "Bacterial small subunit ribosomal RNA", at positions 524 to 776 of the family's 1533-position model. The record is from RNAcentral.
UACGUAGGGUGCGAGCGUUGUCCGGAAUUAUUGGGCGUAAAGGGCUCGUAGGCGGUCUGUUGCGUCAGGAGUGAAAACUCGGGGCUUAACCCCGAGCCUGCUUCUGAUACGGGCAGACUAGAGGUAUGCAGGGGAGAACGGAAUUCCUGGUGUAGCGGUGAAAUGCGCAGAUAUCAGGAGGAACACCGGUGGCGAAGGCGGCAUCCUGGACCGGCACUGACGCUGAGGCGCGAAAGCCAGGGGAGCAAACGGG